UCCCUGGAGGACUAGUGGUUUGGCCACAGUGCUCUCACCACUGUGGCCUGCGUUCAAUUCCCACCAGGGAA
Molecule: non-coding RNA, 71 nt
Organism: Pangasianodon gigas (Mekong giant catfish)
Lineage: Eukaryota; Metazoa; Chordata; Actinopteri; Siluriformes; Pangasiidae
Source: the annotation of a GenBank genome assembly